RNAcentral lists this ribosomal RNA (230 nucleotides) under uncultured Alicycliphilus sp. RNAcentral describes it as "partial 16S ribosomal RNA". It matches the Rfam family "Bacterial small subunit ribosomal RNA", at positions 550 to 774 of the family's 1533-position model. Lineage: Bacteria; Pseudomonadati; Pseudomonadota; Betaproteobacteria; Burkholderiales; Comamonadaceae. The record is from RNAcentral.
AGCUGAUCAUUGGGUGUAAAGUGUGCGCAGGCGGUCUUGUAAGACAGAGGUGAAAUCCCCGGGCUCAACCUGGGAACUGCCUUUGUGACUGCAAGGCUGGAGUGCGGCAGAGGGGGAUGGAAUUCCGCGUGUAGCAGUGAAAUGCGUAGAUAUGCGGAGGAACACCGAUGGCGAAGGCAAUCCCCUGGGCCUGCACUGACGCUCAUGCACGAAAGCGUGGGGAGCAAACA